UGCCGCCCUGAAGGGCGUAUGGUGGAUGCCUUGGCAGACAGUACCGAUGAAGGACGUUUGAGGAUGCGAUAAGCCUCGGGGAGCCUCCAACAUGGCUUCGAUCCGAGGAUUUCCGAAUGGGGCAACCCGCCGGCCGUCAUGGGCCGGCACGGAACCUUGUUGUUCCGGGGGUACGCAGGGAAGUGAAACAUCUCAGUACCUGCAGGAAGGGAUACUCCGUGAGUAGUGGCGAGCGAAAGCGGAUCAGACCAAACCAUGGGCGCGUGAUACCCGUCGGGGGUUGCGUUCGUGGUGUUGCGGGAGCGUGUGUCCCGGUUCCGACGGACCGGGCGGGAGUCAUAAAACGGCUUGCCAGGGGAACAGGCUUGAAGGCCUGGCCGCAGAGGGUGCCAGCCCCGUACCUGGAAGCUUGCCGUCUUCCGAUCAUGUGUCCCAAGUAGCGCGGGCCUCGUGGAAUCCCGUGUGAAUCGGCCCCGACCGUGGGGUAAGUCUAAGCAUACCUGUCUGACCGAUAGCGUACCAGUACCGUGAGGGAAAGGUGAAAAGCACCCCGGGAGGGGAGUGAAAGAGUUCCUGAAACCGUGCGCCUACAAUCCGUCGGAGCCUCCUUGUGGGGUGACGGCGUGCCUAUCGAAAAAUGAGUCUGCGAGUCAGUGGUGCGUGGCGAGGCUAACCCGUGGUGGGGGAGCCGUAGCGAAGGCGAGUCUCAAAAGGCGUUUUGAGUCGCGCGCCCUGGACCCGAAGCGGGAUGAUCUAGCCCUGGGCAGGUUGAAGCGCGGGUAAGACCGCGUGGAGGACCGAACCCACCUGGGUUGAAAACCGGGGGGAUGACCUGGGGCUAGGGGUGAAAGGCCAAUCAAAUUCCGUGAUAGCUGGUUCUCUCCGAAAUGCAUUUAGGUGCAGCGUCGGUUGAUUGCAUCGCGGGGGUAGAGCUACUGGAUGCUUGCGGGCCCGUGUCGGGUACCAAUAGCAGCCAAACUCCGAAUACCGUGGAUGUGUAUUCCGGCAGUGAGUCGGCGGGGGAUAAGCUCCGUCGUCGAGAGGGAGACAGCCCAGAUCGUCGUCUAAGGUCCCGAAGCGUGUGCUAAGUGGGAAAGGAUGUGGAGUCGCAUAGACAGCCAGGAGGUUGGCUCAGAAGCAGCCAUCCUUGAAAGAGUGCGUAACAGCUCACUGGUCUAGUGGUUCCGCGCCGACAAUGUAGCGGGGCUCAAGCACACCACCGAAGACGCGGCAGCGGCCUUUGUGGCCGUUGGGUAGGAGAGCGUCCCGCGUGGGGCGAAGCGGCCGGGGAACCGUGCCGUGGACCGCGCGGGAGUGAGAAUGCAGACAUGAGUAGCGAGAGACGGGUGAGGAUCCCGUCCGCUGGAUGACCAAGGGUUCCGGGGCCACGUUCGUCGUCCCCGGGUGAGUCGGGUCCUAAGGCGAGGCCGACAGGCGUAGUCGAAUGGAUGAACGGGUGGAUAUUCCCGUACCGGCGGCGUACCGUAAGAGCCGAACGGAUGAGUACUAACCUCCGGUCGCGUGGCGUCGUUCCCUUCGGGGUUCGGGGUCCGCGGUCGUUGGGAGCGUAGUCCCGGUAGGCUAGCGCACAGGGGUGACACGGAAUGGGAGCCGGCCGCGGAGGUGGUUUUCCGUGGUCAAGCACGCAGCCCGUCCCAUAGGCAAAUCCGUGGGACGCAUAGGGUGAGGUGUGAUGAUGGGCGUCCUUUGGACGCGAUAUCCGGUGGUCCAGGCCGUCGAGAAAAGCCUCGGCGCGAGGGGCGUCGCCGCCCGUACCCCAAACCGACACUGGUGGUCAGGUAGAGAAUACCAAGGCGAUCGAGCGAAUCCUGGUCAAGGAACUCGGCAAAUCACUCCCGUGCCUUCGGUAUAAGGGAGACCCCCGGGCGUGAAGAGGCUUGCCCUCGGAGCGUUGGGGGGUGGCACAGACCAGGGGGUAGCGACUGUUUACCAAAAACACAGGUGCAUGCGAAGGCGCAAGCCGCUGUAUAUGCACUGACGCCUGCCCGGUGCCGGAAGGUUAAGAGGAUCCGUCAGCCCCUUUUGGGGUGAAGCGGUGAAUUCAAGCCCCGGUAAACGGCGGUGGUAACUAUAACCAUCCUAAGGUAGCGAAAUUCCUUGUCGGGUAAGUUCCGACCUGCACGAAUGGCGUA
RNAcentral lists this ribosomal RNA (2153 nucleotides) under human gut metagenome. RNAcentral describes it as "bacterial LSU rRNA". It matches the Rfam family "Bacterial large subunit ribosomal RNA", at positions 1 to 2003 of the family's 2925-position model. The record is from RNAcentral.